GUGAAUCAUCGAAUCUUUGAACGCAAAUUGCACUCUCUUCGGAGAGUAUGCCUGUUUGAGGGCCAGCCUAAAAAAAAUCGACAUCGUUGCGGUUGGGCGGGGGCGUUCGUCGUAAAUGGGGUUAUCUUAAAUCUUGUGUUUAUGCGACUUAAAUUUUUCUUUACGAUUCCAUGUACGUUUCCAAGAUUUAUUUCUUUAC
Molecule: unclassified non-coding RNA, 199 nt
Filed under: Glomeraceae sp.
Lineage: Eukaryota; Fungi; Glomeromycota; Glomeromycetes; Glomerales; Glomeraceae
Description: partial contains 5.8S ribosomal RNA and internal transcribed spacer 2
Rfam family: 5.8S ribosomal RNA (bases 1-65)
Source: RNAcentral